CAUUCAAAACCAAUUAAUCCAACCAACUGGUGGUUGAACUAACAAGUUAAAUCUUAUUACCAAGUAAGAAAAAAGAAGUUAAGUAAGAGAAUCAGAUGGAAGAGAAAAGAAAUACUACCUAGAGGAACAUGGUCAACACUACUAGAGUAAUGAACAAAGCUUAUUCAACGCAAAAUGAGUAAGAAAGGAAACAAAGGGUCCAUAAGUUUAACCAUAUUGAGGGUCAGCUUUAUGGCCAACCAUGAUCCCCAAAAUCAUGAUUUAGUUCAUGGUUCUCAUCUCAAUAGAGGAGAAAAUAAGGGAGAGGGAUAUACUAAAAAUUCAGGUUAUUAUGCACCUUUAAAGGGUGAAUCUGACCAUUUGAAAGGUCAGAUUAAUUCCAUGUUGUGAUGCCAUGUGAAGUAAACUUUCGCCCUAGGUUUCACAAAUGUAUACAUAUACUAAUUAGCAAUCCAAGAUGUAAACAUUGCAUAUGAACACAACCUUACAAACGUUUUGGUUUCAACUCAA
This 510-nucleotide long non-coding RNA is filed under the name Nicotiana benthamiana. RNAcentral's name for it is "long non-coding RNA (NBEN_LNC002330)". The record is from RNAcentral. Lineage: Eukaryota; Viridiplantae; Streptophyta; Magnoliopsida; Solanales; Solanaceae.